Molecule: unclassified non-coding RNA, 162 nt
Filed under: Sesquicillium rossmaniae
Lineage: Eukaryota; Fungi; Ascomycota; Sordariomycetes; Hypocreales; Bionectriaceae
Description: Clonostachys rossmaniae partial internal transcribed spacer 2
Source: RNAcentral
CAACCCUCAUGCCCUAGCGGCGUGGUGUUGGGGCUCGGCCUGAACUUGCUUCGGGCCGUCCCCUAAAUCUAGUGGCGGACCCGCCGUGGCCUCCUCUGCGUAGUAGUAAUAUUUCGCAUGUGGAGAGCGGCGAGACCCUGCCGUAAAACCCCAACUUCUCAA